GCAAAAAAAGUAGUAAAACGCCUGCAUGUAAAAAUGGGUUGUGUAGUUAUUUUUGUGUGAUAUUACACAAUUUAGUAGUACUCCGCUUCACAAUUUUUUCUAACACCAUUUACACCUAAAAUGUGUAAAAUUAUACACAUUUUUCGUUUAUAUUGCAUUUGCGUGUUGUUUGCUAUCCAGCUGUCAAAAUAUCCAAACUAAACUCAACUCGCGUGAAUCAAAACAGUUCGGAAAAUCAGCAAGAGUGAAUAUUUUGAUUCGUUUGAGGAUUAAAACCAUCUUCAAGGCUGAAAAUCAUGAAAAUAUACAAAGGAUUUUUUUUAGGUUUGAAAUUUCCCGGAAGCGACGGUCCAAAACCGAUCCUACUGCAAGUGUCCGGCCAACCAGCUGGCGCCACAAUUCACUGUUUAAGAAGCCGGUUCGGUGUUGCGACCAGCAGCAGUUGCCACGAUUGGCAUCGUUUGCCACUGCACCAGGAACCCUCUGGACGAUAUCUGGUUCUCGAAAACUUCCGGAAUCAACGCUGCCACUGAAGCUGCAAAACCAUAGAAGCCGAAAAUUGUCCCGAACGGGCUCGUGUCAAGGUAGACGGAGAAUACGCAGCCAGUCAAGUUUCCGUCGCUGACCUCCGCCGGCUCCGGAGGUAACUCGAAGAGGGUGGCACUGGCGCUGGUGAGUGAAGUUGUAAUUGCUUGUUCAAUUUGAACACCGGCAGACAGGAGCAGGACAGCGUGUUUCCCCGUGUUUCCCACCGAUACUUGCUCGUUCAUGACUUCACCGUCAAAAAUAUCGCUGAUUCGCGCCGGAAUCUGUUCGAACAGUGUUUUGCUCUGGGCGCGAUUCUUGAACCGAGCUGGCUGGAUUUGCCCCCGCUGACGUUGCCAUUGCGUGAUGCUUCGAACGUUAUGGUGCUCCCCUCUCGCCGGGUAGUGACGAAACCCCGAAAGGCCUGAAUCCGCUUCAGAAAUCGGUCAACGAGACAUACAUCUCUAACCCACACGAACGUCGUGCGAAUGCUCUGCAUUUCGUACAACUUUUUAUACGAAGUCCCAUUCUUCAACCCUUUAGGAGGAACCACACCCGGGUCGUUUGCGAUCAUCGUCAUCUCGGCCACACAUGGAAGGUUGGCCGCGAAAAGGAUACGCACCUCGUCAACACCUGGGCCGUUCGCGAUCAUCCGCACAUCGACCACAGAACAACCGAUUCGGAAAGAAUGUUGUCCACUCACUAGCCGUAUAACACCAGUUCUGGCUUAAAAUCAGGUGCAAUCUUCAAGAAUCAACGCCGGGCAUUCGAGCUA
Molecule: long non-coding RNA, 1300 nt
Organism: Culex quinquefasciatus (southern house mosquito)
Lineage: Eukaryota; Metazoa; Arthropoda; Insecta; Diptera; Culicidae
Exons: 3
Source: RefSeq, a predicted model, not a curated record